This 426-nucleotide unclassified non-coding RNA is filed under the name Hevea brasiliensis (rubber tree). The record is from RNAcentral. Lineage: Eukaryota; Viridiplantae; Streptophyta; Magnoliopsida; Malpighiales; Euphorbiaceae.
GUCCAUGUGCCAUGUGCAAACAACCGAAGAACGUCAAGGUGCCGGGAAUUUUCAGUUCCUUCAAGCUCAGCAAAGCUGGGCACGGCGAGAAUCUCAGAGAAGGAGAAGAGGGAGGGGUGAGAAGUGGCCUCAAUAAUAACGGGCACGAGAAGCGAGCCUUUAAGAGGCGAUGCUUGCUUGACAAAGUGAUGGAUGAGUUCAGCUUGCUUUUGUUCGAUGUCCAUCUUCAGUAACACAGCCUGCACACGUCCUUCCUGAACAAAUUGAAGUGGUUAAUGGAAAUAAAGGAAUCAGGACAUUGAGAAAGAGAAAGAAAAUGGCUGGGGGAAUUGAAAUAGUGCAAAUAGAGAGGUAAAGUUUUAGGGCUUAGGUAUUGUCAAGCCACGAGUGCGACGGUGGAAGGAGCUUGCUUGAUCCACGAGUAAU